RNAcentral lists this long non-coding RNA (689 nucleotides) under Gallus gallus (chicken). Its description in RNAcentral is "lncRNA (ENSGALG00010000392.1)". Lineage: Eukaryota; Metazoa; Chordata; Aves; Galliformes; Phasianidae. The record is from RNAcentral.
GGGGUCUAUGGAGGGCUAUGGGGGGAUAUGGGGGGAUAUGGGGGAAUAUGGGGGGAUAUGGGGGGCAUUGAGGUCAUAUGGGGGAGAUGGGGGCAGUUGGGGGGGCUAUGGGGGUCUAUGGAGGGCUAUGGGGGGAUAUGGGGGGGUUAUGGGGGGAUAUGGGGGGUAUUGAGGUCAUAUGGGGGGCUAUGGGGGUCUAUGGGGGGGCUGAGAGGGAUAUUGAGGUCUAUGGGGGGAAAUGGGGGGCAUAUGGGGGGGCUAUUUGGGGUAUUGGGGUCUUACUGGGGGGUCUAUGGGGGGAUGUGGGGUCAUAUGGGGCAGCUAUGGGGCAGCCAUGGUGCAGCUAUGGGGCAUCUAUAGGACAUCUACGGGGCAGCCAUGGGAUCUCUAUGGGACAUCUGUGGGGUAUCUAUAGGACAUCUAUGGGACAUCAAUGGGGUAUCCAUAGGACAUCCAUGGGGCAGCCAUGGGGCAGUUACGGGGCAGCUAUGGGGCAGUUACGGGGCAGUUAUGGGGCAGCUGUGGGGCGGCUGUGGGUCGCACCUGGCAGCCCCAGCUCCAGGAAGGGGCAGCUGACCAACACCAACUUGCUGAAGUUGAACUUGUAGGUGAAGCGCUUCCCCUUCGUCUUGUGCAGGAUGCGCUUGUUGUAGUAGUACCUGCGGGGGCACCGUUAGGGGGUUAGGGGG